AUAUCAGUCAUGCAUAGCAUAUCAAUAAGCGGAGGAAAAGAAACUAACAAGGAUUCCCCUAGUAACGGCGAGUGAAGCGGGAAGAGCUCAAAUUUGAAAUCUUAAAAGGUUUUCCUUUUACGAAUUGUAGUUUAAAGAAGUGUUUUCUGUUGAAAUUUUAGUAAAAGUUCUUUGGAAUAGGACAUCAUAGAGGGUGAGAAUCCCGUAUUUGACUAGAAUUUUUCAACUUUGUGAUACACUUUCAAAGAGUCGGAUUGUUUGGGAAUGCAGUCCAAAAUGGGUGGUAAAUUUCAUCUAAAGCUAAAUAUUGGCGAGAGACCGAUAGCGAACAAGUACCGUGAGGGAAAGAUGAAAAGAACUUUGAAAAGAGAGUUAAACAGUACGUGAAAUUGUCAAAAGGGAAGCGUUUGGACACCAGUGUUGUUUUUCUGAAAAUCAAUUAAAGAACUUGUUUAUGCUAAGCUUUUUAGACUUUAAUCAGGCUAAUCAUUUUAGUUUUUGUACUUUCUUGAAUGCACUUUUCAGUUAACAAGUCAACAUCAAUUUCUUUUGCUGUAAAAAAGCUUGAGGAAGGUGGCUUGAGAUUCGUCUUAAGUGUUUAUAGCCUCUUGCCUAUGCAGUCGGAGAGAUUGAGGUCUGCAGCGUAGAUCCUUCGGGGCUAAAUGCAUUUGUGCUAAGUUAUAGCAUUUUAUAGACAACUUGUUGACUAUGAUUUGUCUUGUAGCUUACUCGCUUAUGUUAUUUUACCUACGCUUAGGAUGUUGACGCAUGAGAUAUACGC
RNAcentral lists this ribosomal RNA (781 nucleotides) under uncultured Neocallimastigales. Its description in RNAcentral is "partial large subunit ribosomal RNA". It matches the Rfam family "Eukaryotic large subunit ribosomal RNA", at positions 22 to 645 of the family's 3401-position model. Lineage: Eukaryota; Fungi; Neocallimastigomycota; Neocallimastigomycetes; Neocallimastigales. The record is from RNAcentral.